Non-coding RNA from Manis javanica (Malayan pangolin), 346 nucleotides. Lineage: Eukaryota; Metazoa; Chordata; Mammalia; Pholidota; Manidae. The record is from RefSeq and is a predicted model, not a curated record.
GCGGACCAGCGCCCUGUCGGAGGGGCGCGCGUGGGGGCGAGAGGCACGAGAACGCGAGUGCGCGUGCGCGAGCGGCGGGGCUUUCUCCCGAGCCGUCGGAGGGAGCCGGAGCGCCUCUCCAGAGUUGGUGAUUGAUCAGCCGUGGUUCAACAUGCAGAGGUGAGUGAGUGGUGAAAAGCAGCAGAGCUGAUGGGUCGUGAGGAUGUAAGUGUGUUCGAAGGUUCUCACACCCUCUACUCCAGGGAGUUCAUUUCUGGAGACCCCGUCUUUAUGAAAACUGACCCUCCUUGCCUCACUUUCAAGAGCAGAGAAGUUCAGAAGUUCAGACUCAGCAGUGGGCUGGGGG